AUUGAACGCUGGCGGCAUGCCUAACACAUGCAAGUCGAACGGUAACGCGGGGGCAACCCUGGCGACGAGUGGCGGACGGGUGAGUAAUACGUAGGAAUCUGCCCAUUUGUGGGGGAUAACCCGGCGAAAGCCGGGCUAAUACCGCAUACGCUCUACGGAGGAAAGCGGGGGAUCGUAAGACCUCGCGCUAAUGGAUGAGCCUACGUCGGAUUAGCUAGUUGGUAGGGUAACGGCCUACCAAGGCGACGAUCCGUAGCUGGUCUGAGAGGACGAUCAGCCACACUGGGACUGAGACACGGCCCAGACUCCUACGGGAGGCAGCAGUGGGGAAUAUUGGACAAUGGGGGCAACCCUGAUCCAGCAAUGCCGCGUGUGUGAAGAAGGCCUGCGGGUUGUAAAGCACUUUCAGAGGGGAAGAAAAAAUACGGAGCUAACACCUCCGGUCUUGACGUUACCCUUAGAAGAAGCACCGGCUAACUCCGUGCCAGCAGCCGCGGUAAUACGGAGGGUGCAAGCGUU
Molecule: ribosomal RNA, 519 nt
Filed under: uncultured bacterium
Lineage: Bacteria
Description: bacterial SSU rRNA
Rfam family: Bacterial small subunit ribosomal RNA
Source: RNAcentral